This is a long non-coding RNA of Cynoglossus semilaevis (tongue sole), 464 nucleotides long. RefSeq lists it as uncharacterized. NCBI's taxonomy places the organism in Eukaryota, Metazoa, Chordata, Actinopteri, Pleuronectiformes, Cynoglossidae. The record is from RefSeq and is a predicted model, not a curated record. The transcript has 2 exons.
GUCAGAGACUCACCAGCAAGUGACCCGUACAGAGCGCUCGCUAAGAAUUCUGGGUAAACACCUACUGUCUGUUCAGAGGGAGAAAAAACAGCUGGAGAAGAGACUGCAGCGAGCUGAGGAGGCCCUAAACAACCAAGCCAGGUGCCAACAUCAACCUGCCUGUCUCUUGGGGAAGGAGGCGGAGUCUAAACCAGCCGUUACUUUAAUGACAUGCCCCGCCCUCACAAGCCACGCCCCCUGCGUAUUAAGCACCAAAACUCAAGGGAAGAGAACAGCAAAGAUGAAGAAAAAGAAAUUGAAAACAAGAAUAAUGAGAGAAGAUGGAAAUGAUUAAAUACAUGAGUGUGUGCUGACAAUCAUUAUCAAUCUUUAUCCUUAUGAAAAAAUGUGUGUGUGUGUGUGUGUGUGCCACAAAUUCUUUAAAAGUGAUCAAAGUUAGAAACAAUAAACACAUUUUUGUUGCA